RNAcentral lists this long non-coding RNA (1381 nucleotides) under Cyanistes caeruleus (blue tit). Its description in RNAcentral is "lncRNA (ENSCCEG00000003010.1)". Lineage: Eukaryota; Metazoa; Chordata; Aves; Passeriformes; Paridae. The record is from RNAcentral.
UUUGUAUUUUUUAUUUGGAAAGCAUUGAACAUCAGAAGACAGAUAUAAUAUAUUAUUCAUUGUAAUCUAACUAUUUAAUUACUUUAAAUAAACAGGUAAGACACCAUUCUCAUUUAAACUGAAGACUCAUUACAUUGGUGUUCUGUGUAAAGGGCCCUCAGAGAAAAUGAAGGUCAGGAUUUUAAUCUACAAUACAAAGAGAGCACAGACUAAUUUUUCAUAGCAUAACAAGUAAAAGAAUUAGGCACAUCCUUCCUACAAACAGGUACCACUGUAGAUCUGUUUUCAUUUCUUUUUACCUUCUGAAUCGGUUACUCCUACUCCCGACUGCUUUACUGGUUCUUGUCCAUUCUGGCUCAUCUUCCCUCUGUUAAAAGAUAUGGUGGUUGUUGUCAAUAAAACCACAUAAAGAUGAAAGUUAGAAUAAUGAUACACUAAAGGCUUUUAAUAUUCUUUUAAGAAUAUUACUUUUUUCUCUUUUGAAGGCAACUGCAAUCACAUCUUGCUAAGUCUGUACAUUCUUACAGAAUGGGUCCAUCAGCUGUCUGCUACUUGCCCCACAUCAAUCUUGGGCUGCAUAUCUUCUCACUUUAUCUUGUUAUAGUCAACAGGGAAAUAUAUAAUAAGCAGUCACAAAAAUUUAUGUCUGGUCUACAACACCAUUAUUUCAAAGCUAACAUACUUCUAUAAAGAGUUACACAAUACAAAGACAGAGAAUCUGGUCUUCAUCAGAGAUAAGAAGAUGAGUAGCUUUCAGGAAUAUUACAACUGGAUAAUAGGAGUUUUUUAAAAAAAACAAAUUAGAAAGACUUUACAAGAUAUAUUCAGAUUUAUGUAACUGUAUAUAAUUAUUAAUUUCCCUUGAUAGUUACAGUUGCUUAAUAUUGGCGAGUAUCCUAAUUAGUUACCUCAUCAAACAAUUCUCAUGGUGUUACUAUUUGAUUAUUUUAUUCUGCUUCAAGAUUAAUUGCUCCUAGGGUUAAAAGCACUUGGACUAAAACCAAGAGUUUAAAAUUCAUCAUAUCCAAAAAUUUCUACUGAUAGACCAGAAACUAAGUCUAAGCAAAUAUAGCUUAUAACCAAAAUUGUAAAAUGUAAAACAGGUUUUUACAUACCAAGAUACUUAAAAAUAUUUUUCCCACUAUAUACUUCACAUCCAAACUGUAAGCUGUGGUCUCAUGGAUUUGGGUUUGUAUAGAGUACAAGGUCAUAGCCCCUGAAGUCAUUAUCAAGCCAGUGUGAAUGCAAAUGAUGAGUAGAGUUUCAAUUAUACAUAUAUUCAGAUAAGUAAGAAUUUUUAUACAGAAUUCAAAAUGGAAAUAGUUAUCAAUUUUAAACAUUCUCUCCAUGAAUGAUCUGAUGGUAUACAGCUAUUUUGUUA